Molecule: unclassified non-coding RNA, 253 nt
Filed under: uncultured Cytophagales bacterium
Lineage: Bacteria; Pseudomonadati; Bacteroidota; Sphingobacteriia; Sphingobacteriales
Description: contains 16S-23S intergenic spacer region
Rfam family: Bacterial small subunit ribosomal RNA
Source: RNAcentral
UACGGAGGGUGCAAGCGUUGUCCGGAUUUAUUGGGUUUAAAGGGUGCGUAGGCGGCUGAUUAAGUCAGUGGUGAAAGCCGAUAGCUCAACUAUCGAACUGCCAUUGAUACUGAUCAGCUUGAGUAUAGAUGAGGUAGGCGGAAUUUAUGGUGUAGCGGUGAAAUGCAUAGAUACCAUAAAGAACUCCAAUAGCGAAGGCAGCUUACUAAACUAUAACUGACGCUGAGGCACGAAAGCAUGGGGAGCAAACAGG